Long non-coding RNA from Lytechinus pictus (painted urchin), 2565 nucleotides. RefSeq lists it as uncharacterized. Lineage: Eukaryota; Metazoa; Echinodermata; Echinoidea; Temnopleuroida; Toxopneustidae. The record is from RefSeq and is a predicted model, not a curated record. The transcript is spliced from 3 exons.
AAUUUGAAAAAGGAAAGUGCCCGUUUUUCGCCGUUAAAUGUUGCAGCCUAAUUUUGGAUCGAGAAUUAAGUGCGACGAAGAUGGCCGUUAAUAAUAGUUCUACUACUUUAAGAACACGAUUCAGAUUUGGAUAACGACUUCGAAGGCAUUCGCAGGAGACCACACAGAGAAAGAGAGGGAGACACAAAACCACCUGUCUCGGUGUCACACAUGAGGAGUUGAGGAGGAGAUGAAGUCAGUGAAUAUGACCUGGCCUGGGGGAGUUUCCAGAAGAAGGCCCAGAAUCGCUGGAUGCCAGGAGUGGAGAUCCUUCGUUGCUGCCCUACAUGAUAGGAGGCAUCGGGCAGUAGAUGCUGUAAUUUGAAACGGAAGGUGUCCUGCCAAUAAAUUUUCAUCCCACCUGAACUGCCUUGCCUGCCUGCACCCAGUCAUCUGUUCCUGAGCAUUUUCAUUUUCCUCUAUUUUUCAUCAUCGUUUGUUUCGGCCUGUAUGAAGUGAAUUUCACAUUGAUUGGUGGAGCUGCUAAGUUGGCAUUACAGGGCCACGCCGGGGUAUGAUCCUUUGGGUUGAACAUCAUGACUGCUAGUUGGUCGGCAAAGGUGAUGGGAUCGAUCAAUGUCACAUGGAGUAAGAUCGAUACCAAUCUGCUUUGCUACAUUUCGAACAAUCUCAUACGGAUACGGAUAUUAUUGCGACAGGAGUACUGCUCGAUGUGGUCAAGCCUAUUUGACAAAGCAUUAUGGUGUUAGUCAUGUUAUCAGAAACCGAUUUUUCAAAAUCACGGAGUUGCUUCAAUUUAUUAUCGAUAGAUAUUUCAAGAACAUGUAGACUAGUGAGCUUUUCAUCAAGAAUUUCAUGCAAUUUAUUUUCGCGCUUAUCCAUGUCAUCAUUGAGUUUUUGUCUCUCGCGUUCCAUUGCCACGGCCACCGCUCUUUGAACGACUGUAUCAAUAUGAUCUAGGUAUGCUGGGCUUUGUUUAGAUCCAGUUAAUGAUGAAGCAGAGGAUUGUGUACAUGCGUUAGCCGAGUGCAAGCGGCCUCUUGAUCUGGUGGAUAUCUUAGACAUGUUAGAGAUUAUGUAAUGAUAUAAUUGAAAAGUGGGAUGGGCUGUGCAUCUGCCAACUCACCAGUCAACCAAUUAGAGACGGCCUUCCAAAGUGACACAGCACGAAAAUAUCAAUAUGGGACUGGUCUAGUCAACACAUACAUGUAGAUCCUGAAAAAACCAUGGAGACCGCAGACGCAAAAUGACUUCCAUACAUAAAGAUAUGAUGCACAAUCUCCAGUGGGUUCAAAACACUGAACACAUGCUAUGCUGAUACACAGACUAUCAUAAGAACUUUAUCAAGCAAAGGAAAUCUGGUAUGAAAUCUCUCAGCUCACAUAAAAAGCCUACGUAGCUACAUGUAGGGAAGAAAAUGCGUAAUUGCUGAGAAAUGAGCAAAAUAAGCAUGUAAUUAUAUCAAAUGUCAGGUAUUUUUCGAAUCGAUUAUAAUACACUGUCCCACAUAUGCUUUUCUGUGUUUACAGCGAUCAUCAGAAUUAUCGAUUUUAAGUUUAAAAAUUCAUGAUUUUACAAAGAUACAAGUUUACAUUAAUGUACCAGAUGUAGAUUAUGUACAAUAUAUUGACAAUUCUCGCUACCCCAAAUAGCGAUUUCGCCGAGAUCCGGGAAAAUCCCUGUAACGUGCAUUGCAUUAUGGGAUAGCUUUUUCGGUAUUACAACUUCCUGUUCGGAAGUCCAACGCACUGUUUUGCCAUUUAGAUCAACAGUGCCGUCAUGCACAACAACACAACGUAGCUUUCGCUCGGAAAGUUCGUGAUCACAACCCUCUCUUUCACUAACAGUUUUACAGCCUUUUCUGCUAAAGUCACUAAUUCUGCCUGACGCUUUCCAUUGCACGGUAUUCAUCUGUCAGUUAAGAUUUUUUUAAGUUCCGAAACUGAUUUUUAUCCAUUUUGUGGUCGACGAAAAAUUGAACGAAAUGAAUGCUGAAUAUAUUUAGUGUCUAGUUGAAUACGAUCGUGAUGUCAGGCCGGUCGCUAAAUGCAAAAUUUUAAGAUAUUCAUUAUUUGUUUGAUUUUUUUAUAACCAAAUAAAAACAUGAAUAAAAAUUAUACUCACGUGAAAUAUAUUUUUUAUUUUUAUUUAUAAUUCAAAUGGAAUCAAAACUGACCAAAUGUAAUAAAAAGUAUUAUACUCUGUACAUAUUACGCUGAUUGGCAUCGAUUUCAGCGUGGUGGAAAACUCAGUAUCGCGAACCUUGCGCGAGCAUGACUCUAAACCGGAAGUGGUGAUGACGACCCGACGGAGUGAAAAUUAUCUCGUCUCGCGCAUUAUGAGAUUUUUGUUCCUAUUUGGGGUAGCGAGAAUUAACUUUGAUUUUAUAGAUUUUCUCAAGAAAUAAUUGUUUGCUGCAACUACUGUCUAUUCCUUCUAAGUGAUAGUGUAAUACAACAGUUCCACAAACUAUUUUCAUCAGACUUAUUGAUGCAUGAUUCUUUCACCCAAAUGCAAGCUUCCAUAAAUCCUGAAAACUUUGCAACUCAGGUAUUUUUUUUUUUA